UACGAGGGGGGCAAAUGUUGUUCGGAAUCACUGGGCGUAAAGGGCGCGUAGGCGGGCUCUUAAGUUAGGUGUUUAAUCCCGGGGCCCAACCCCGGACAGGCACCUAAAACUGGGAGUCUUGAAUAGUGGAGAGGUCGGCGGAAUUGGGGGUGUAGCGGUGGAAUGCGUAGAUAUCUGGAGGAACACCGGUGGCGAAGGCGGCAUCCUGGACCGGUAUUGACGCUGAGGAGCGAAAGCCAGGGGAGCAAACGGG
RNAcentral lists this ribosomal RNA (253 nucleotides) under uncultured bacterium. Its description in RNAcentral is "partial 16S ribosomal RNA". It matches the Rfam family "Bacterial small subunit ribosomal RNA", at positions 524 to 776 of the family's 1533-position model. The record is from RNAcentral.